UACGUAGGUGGCGAGCGUUAUCCGGAUUUACUGGGUGUAAAGGGUGUGUAGGCGGGAUUGCAAGUCAGAUGUGAAAAUUAUGGGCUCAACUCAUAACCUGCAUUUGAAACUGUGAUUCUUGAGGGUCGGAGAGGUAACCGGAAUUCCUGGUGUAGCGGUGAAAUGCGUAGAUAUCAGGAGGAACACCGGUGGCGAAGGCGGGUUACUGGACGAUUACUGACGCUGAGACACGAAAGCGUGGGGAGCAAAC
This 250-nucleotide ribosomal RNA is filed under the name uncultured prokaryote. Its description in RNAcentral is "partial 16S ribosomal RNA". It matches the Rfam family "Bacterial small subunit ribosomal RNA", at positions 524 to 773 of the family's 1533-position model. The record is from RNAcentral.